Molecule: unclassified non-coding RNA, 855 nt
Filed under: Hevea brasiliensis (rubber tree)
Lineage: Eukaryota; Viridiplantae; Streptophyta; Magnoliopsida; Malpighiales; Euphorbiaceae
Source: RNAcentral
GGGGCUGUUCCUCUGGCACAGUCCAAUACAAGUGCGUAAAAUCUCUAUUAUGUCAGUGACCUCUUUCUUGCUUAAAAUAGCUAUGAAAUGCUCCGGAGCCGUGGCACAAUGUUCACUUUCAACAGCAGUAUCAAGCAGGAUAAAUUUAUCACUGAGUGAAGAUAUAACAAGCAAAAGGGCGCUUCCGAUGUCACCAACCCUUUCUAACAAGAAAGCUGCUGCGUCUAUAACUCCAUACUCCUGGCAUAAAUGCAAGCAGCGCUCCACCCUGUAGCUUUCGGAAGUCUCCAAGAAUCUGAGAACUGACUUACGCUCGUACCUACAUAAUAGCUCAAUAUAGAGCUCCGUCAUUUCAUCAGUUAUGUGAAUUGGAUAGUUCUGCAGGAGUUUAGGUAAGUCAGACAAGGCUUCCAGGUAGACUUCAGAGGACAUAUGUUUCUUAUUUCUUCCACUGGGGAAGUCUGAAGCAUCCAGUUUUCUUAAAGAAGAGAAGUUUAGGGUGCCUGUUGAAUGAACUUCAAUGAGAGUCUUCAGAUAAAGGAAAAGACUUUCUGGAUUAGCCUGCAGCUGAGACAAAAUGUAAUCGCUCUCCUCUCCAAAAUGAUUGACAAUCAGAAAAAAAGUUCCUUCCCUGUUCAACUUGAGUAGAUCUGGGAUUCGAGAAAUGACUGCUGAUCUGAAAUCAUCAUAUUCUUUGCCUCUCAGUUGCCGCAACAUGUCAUCAACAUAUACAAAAGCAAGAAUAGGCUCAUCAACAGCUUUCAUAUAACUGUCCAGAGCAGAAAGAUACUGAUGUGUGAUGGCAUGAAUUAAGCCGCAGACCUGAUGCAGCUGAGCCCUCUCACACAAAUUCAG